GACGAACGCUGGCGGCGUGCCUAACACAUGCAAGUGGAGCGACGAACCAGGCUUCGGCCUGGAGCAAAGCCGCGAACGGGUGAGUAACACGUGGGUAACCUGCCCCGAUGAUCGGGACAACCCGGGGAAACCCGGGCUAAUACCGAAUGUGCUCGCAGCUCAUGAGGGCUGUGAGGAAAGGAAGCUUCGGCCUCCGUAUCGGGAGGGGCCCGGGCCCAUUAGCUCGUUGGUGGGGUAACGGCCUACCAAGGCUCCGAUGGGUAGCUGGUCUGAGAGGACGAUCAGCCACACUGGGACUGAGACACGGCCCAGACUCCUACGGGAGGCAGCAGUGGGGAAUCUUGCGCAAUGCGCGAAGCCUGAUGCAGCAACGCCGCGUGCGCGAUGAAGGUCUUCGGAUCGUAAAGCGCUUUUCUGAGAGAUGAGAAAGGACAGUAUCUCAGGAAUAAGUCUCGGCUAACUACGUGCCAGCAGCC
Molecule: ribosomal RNA, 476 nt
Filed under: uncultured bacterium
Lineage: Bacteria
Description: partial 16S ribosomal RNA
Rfam family: Bacterial small subunit ribosomal RNA
Source: RNAcentral